AACGAACGCUGGCGGCAUGCCUAACACAUGCAAGUCGAACGAGACCUUCGGGUAUAGUUGCUCACGGGUGCGUAACGCGUGGGAACCUGCCCUUAGUUUCGGAAUAACUUCCCGAAAUGGGUGCUAAUACCGGAUAAUGUCUUCGGACCAAGAAUUUAUCGCCUUUGGAUGGGCCCGCGUUGGAUUAGCUAGUUGGUAGGGUAAAAGCCUACCAAGGCGACGAUCCAUAGCUGGUCUGAGAGGAUGAUCAGCCACACUGGGACUGAGACACGGCCCAGACUCAUACGGGAGGCAGCAGUGGGGAAUAUUGGACAAUGGGCGAAAGCCUGAUCCAGAAAUGCCGCGUGAGUGAUGAAGGCCUUAGGGUUGUAAAGCUCUUUUACCCGGGAUAAUAAUGACAGUACCGGGAGAAUAAGCGCCGGCUAACUCCGUG
Molecule: ribosomal RNA, 433 nt
Filed under: uncultured bacterium
Lineage: Bacteria
Description: partial 16S ribosomal RNA
Rfam family: Bacterial small subunit ribosomal RNA
Source: RNAcentral